UGGCGGACGGGUGAGUAAUGUCUGGGAAACUGCCCGAUGGAGGGGGAUAACUACUGGAAACGGUAGCUAAUACCGCAUAACGUCGCAAGACCAAAGCGGGGGACCUCCGGGCCUCGCGCCAUCGGAUGUGCCCAGAUGGGAUUAGCUAGUAGGUGGGGUAACGGCUCACCUAGGCGACGAUCCCUAGCUGGUCUGAGAGGAUGACCAGCCACACUGGAACUGAGACACGGUCCAG
Molecule: ribosomal RNA, 235 nt
Filed under: uncultured bacterium
Lineage: Bacteria
Description: partial 16S ribosomal RNA
Rfam family: Bacterial small subunit ribosomal RNA
Source: RNAcentral